RNAcentral lists this ribosomal RNA (253 nucleotides) under uncultured bacterium. RNAcentral's name for it is "partial 16S ribosomal RNA". It matches the Rfam family "Bacterial small subunit ribosomal RNA", at positions 524 to 776 of the family's 1533-position model. The record is from RNAcentral.
UACGCAGGGUGCAGGCGUUAAUCGGAAUUACUGGGCGUAAAGCGUGCGCAGGCGGUUCGUUGUGUCGGUGGUGAAAUCCCCGGGCUUAACCUGGGAACUGCAUUUGUGACUGCACGGCUAGAGUGUGUCAGAGGGGGGUAGAAUUCCACGUGUAGCAGUGAAAUGCGUAGAUAUGUGGAGGAAUACCGAUGGCGAAGGCAGCCCCCUGGGAUAACACUGACGCUCAUGCACGAAAGCGUGGGGAGCAAACAGG